This 643-nucleotide ribosomal RNA is filed under the name uncultured bacterium. RNAcentral's name for it is "bacterial SSU rRNA". It matches the Rfam family "Bacterial small subunit ribosomal RNA", at positions 232 to 885 of the family's 1533-position model. The record is from RNAcentral.
CGCGGCCUAUCAGCUUGUUGGUGAGGUAAUGGCUCACCAAGGCGACGACGGGUAGCCGGCCUGAGAGGGCGACCGGCCACACUGGGACUGAGACACGGCCCAGACUCCUACGGGAGGCAGCAGUGGGGAAUAUUGCACAAUGGGCGAAAGCCUGAUGCAGCGACGCCGCGUGAGGGAUGACGGCCUUCGGGUUGUAAACCUCUUUCAGCAGGGAAGAAGCGAAAGUGACAGUACCUGCAGAAGAAGCGCCGGCUAACUACGUGCCAGCAGCCGCGGUAAUACGUAGGGCGCAAGCGUUGUCCGGAAUUAUUGGGCGUAAAGAGCUCGUAGGCGGCUUGUCACGUCGGGUGUGAAAGCCCGGGGCUUAACCCCGGGUCUGCAUUCGAUACGGGCUAGCUAGAGUGUGGUAGGGGAGAUCGGAAUUCCUGGUGUAGCGGUGAAAUGCGCAGAUAUCAGGAGGAACACCGGUGGCGAAGGCGGAUCUCUGGGCCAUUACUGACGCUGAGGAGCGAAAGCGUGGGGAGCGAACAGGAUUAGAUACCCUGGUAGUCCACGCCGUAAACGGUGGGAACUAGGUGUUGGCGACAUUCCACGUCGUCGGUGCCGCAGCUAACGCAUUAAGUUCCCCGCCUGGGGAGUACGG